GACGAACGCUGGCGGCGUGCUUAACACAUGCAAGUCGAACGGAAAGGCCCUGCUUUUGUGGGCUGCUCGAGUUGCGAACGGGUGAGUAACACUUGAGUAACCUGCCCUUGCCCUUGGGAUAACUUCAGGAAACUGGGGCUAAUACCGGAUAAGAGCUCCUGCUGCAUGGUGGGCGUUGGAAAGUUUCGGCGGUUGGGGAUGGACUCGCGGCUUAUCAGCUUGUUGCUUGGGUAGUGGCUUACCAAGGCUUGGACGGGUAGCCUACCUGGGAGGCUGACCGGCCACAGUACGACUGGGAUACGGCACAGACUCGAAUGGGAGGCAGGAGUGGAGAAUAUUGCACAAUGGGCGGAAGGCAGGUGUGAUACCGCAGCGUGCGGGAUGACGUGAUUCGGGUUGUAAACAGAUGUCGUCUGUGCCGAAGCGUGAGUGACGGUAAUGGGUAAAGAAGCACCGGCUAACUACGUG
RNAcentral lists this ribosomal RNA (468 nucleotides) under uncultured bacterium. RNAcentral describes it as "partial 16S ribosomal RNA". It matches the Rfam family "Bacterial small subunit ribosomal RNA", at positions 28 to 507 of the family's 1533-position model. The record is from RNAcentral.